UUCAUUGAGAUGGACUGACUGGAGC
Molecule: non-coding RNA, 25 nt
Filed under: Mus musculus (house mouse)
Lineage: Eukaryota; Metazoa; Chordata; Mammalia; Rodentia; Muridae
Source: RNAcentral